CAGAAAAAAAGAACCGGCAGUGUUCCAUUCUCGUGACAUCAUCGUGUUCUAGACAGAAUGAAGUUUGACAUCAUACGGAAUGUUCUGUAGAAUUAAGACCUCUUGACAAACUCCAGUUCGUUACAACCUGACCUCCUACAGAGAAACAUCUCCCAGUGGACACACAGUGACAACUUACCUAAAGUAGAACACAACUCCAACAAGAGAAAGUAUACAACUACCGUAUAAAAAAACUCCAGCACCGGUACGAUAUCUUUGCCGACAUGGAGACAAACGACAACUCGACACAUGAGUCACGUGGACAGGUGCAGUGUGAGGACUCUGGCCAGCAACAAGAUCUGCUGAACCACCAGCUUGCUCUCAGCAGAAUCCUGCAACAAGCUCUUCUGGACUCCAAAAAGGAAAAGAAGAAGCUGGCUGUAGAAAAUGCUGCUUUGAGGAGGCAUACAGCCAGCAAUGAGCUCAGCUGGGAGCAAGACAGAAUGAAGCUGCUGGAUGAAAAGGACUCUUUAGUGUCAACUCUGUUUAUGGCCAGAAAUGACAUGGAUAACCUGGUGAAGGAUCUGGAGUCCGCAAGAGCCAGUCAAAAACAGUUUCACACUCAGAGCAAGGAGAUGGAAAGAAACAUGGAAGAAAAAAACGGAGGAAGUCUGCUCCUUGAAGGAAAGUCUGCACUUCCAGAAGAUGGAGACCGAGAAAGCUGAACAAUUCUGCAAGGCAGAGUGCGAUCAGCUCAAUCAGAUGAAACUUUCCUUUGAAAAAACUGUGAUUCAGUUAAAUGAAGAGUGGGAAAGCCGGUGGCUUGUAAGACAGAAGGAGGUAGCUGCUGAGCUGGAAACUCUGCAGCGGGACUGUGAGAAGAAGACGAGCCAGGUCAUCCAGGAGAAGGAUGACGUCAUCACCCGUGUUAGAAAGGAAAUGAUGGCACUGGAAGGGGGAAAUCUGGACAGCUUGGCCAAGGUGAGCGCAAUAAAGAUGGAGAUCCGCCAGAGCGAGACAGAGUGGCAAACAAAACACAAAGUUCUGGAGGAUCGUCUCCGGUGUGGGCUGGCAGCAAAGGAGGAGAUCUUUAAGAAAACGCAGGAGCUGCAGAAGCAGAGCAGAGAGGUGGAGGCGAAGUGGCUCAACAAGGAGAGCAAGAUGGAGGAGGAGAAGCAGCUCCUGAUCCAACUAAAUAUUAAGCUUCAGGAGCUCGCCUUCUUCUAACCCCCUCCUAACAUCCCAACUCCGCCAACCUUCUCACCUCCACCCCCCUCACCUCCACCCCCUCACCUCCAACCCCCACACUCCCAUCAUCCAGCCCUCCUUCUCUUGUGGGUCAGUGUUUGGCACCGCAGCCUCACAGAAACAAGCUGCUGCUUCAGUUUGCAUGUUCUCCCAGUGUCUCUAAACACAUGCGCAUAUAGCAAA
RNAcentral lists this long non-coding RNA (1410 nucleotides) under Cottoperca gobio. RNAcentral's name for it is "lncRNA (ENSCGOG00000007239.1)". Lineage: Eukaryota; Metazoa; Chordata; Actinopteri; Perciformes; Bovichtidae. The record is from RNAcentral.